UACGGGGGGGGCAAGCGUUGUUCGGAAUUACUGGGCGUAAAGGGCUCGUAGGCGGCCAACUAAGUCGGACGUGAAAUCCCCAGGCUCAACCUGGGAACUGCGUCCGAUACUGGAUGGCUUGAAUCCGGGAGAGGGAUGCAGAAUUCCAGGUGUAGCGGUGAAAUGCGUAGAUAUGUGGAGGAACACCGAUGGCGAAGGCAGCCCCCUGGGCUAACACUGACGCUCAUGCACGAAAGCGUGGGGAGCAAACAGG
Molecule: ribosomal RNA, 253 nt
Filed under: uncultured bacterium
Lineage: Bacteria
Description: partial 16S ribosomal RNA
Rfam family: Bacterial small subunit ribosomal RNA
Source: RNAcentral